Molecule: ribosomal RNA, 782 nt
Filed under: uncultured bacterium
Lineage: Bacteria
Description: bacterial SSU rRNA
Rfam family: Bacterial small subunit ribosomal RNA
Source: RNAcentral
AGAGUUUGAUCCUGGCUCAGAGCGAACGCUGGCGGCGUGCUUAACACAUGCAAGUCGAACGAGGUCUGUAGCAAUACAGAUACUCGUGGCGAACGGGUGCGUAACACGUGGAUAACCUUCCUUCAGGUGGGGAAUAACCCAGUGAAAAUUGGGCUAAUACCGCAUUAUAUGACGAUGGCUCAUGCUGUUGUCUUCAAAGCCGCAAGGCGCCAGAAGAGGGAUCCGCGGCCGAUUAGCUUGUUGGCGAGGUAAUGGCUCACCAAGGCAAUGAUCGGUAGCCGGUCUGAGAGGAUGAUCGGCCACACUGGAACUGAGACACGGUCCAGACUCCUACGGGAGGCAGCAGUGGGGAAUCUUGCGCAAUGGACGAAAGUCUGACGCAGCAACGCCGCGUGGGGGAUGAAGCUUCUCGGAGUGUAAACCCCUUUCGACCCGGACGAAUGCCCGCAAGGGUUUGACGGUACGGGUAUAAGAAGCCCCGGCUAACUACGUGCCAGCAGCCGCGGUAAAACGUAGGGGGCCAGCGUUGCUCGGAAUUACUGGGCGUAAAGGGUCCGUAGGCGGUGUGGCAAGUCGGAAGUGAAAUCUCUGGGCUUAACCCAGAGGCUGCUCCCGAAACUGCUGUGCUAGAGUGCGAGAGAGGCGAGUGGAAUUGCGGGUGUAGCGGUGAAAUGCGUAGAUAUCCGCAGGAACAUCCGAGGCGAAAGCGGCUCGCUGGAUCGCAACUGACGCUGAGGGACGAAAGCUAGGGGAGCAAACAGGAUUAGAUACCCUAGUAGUCC